ACGAACGCUGGCGGCAUGCCUAACACAUGCAAGUCGAACGAAGCCUUCGGGCUUAGUGGCGCACGGGUGCGUAACGCGUGGGAAUCUGCCCCUUGCUUCGGAAUAACAGUUAGAAAUGACUGCUAAUACCGGAUGAAGUCUUCGGACCAAAGAUUUAUCGGCAAGGGAUGAGCCCGCGUAGGAUUAGGUAGUUGGUGGGGUAAAGGCCUACCAAGCCGACGAUCCUUAGCUGGUCUGAGAGGAUGAUCAGCCACACUGGGACUGAGACACGGCCCAGACUCCUACGGGAGGCAGCAGUGGGGAAUAUUGGACAAUGGACGCGAGUCUGAUCCAGCAAUGCCGCGUGAGUGAUGAAGGCCUUAGGGUUGUAAAGCUCUUUUACCAGGGAUGAUAAUGACAGUACCUGGAGAAUAAGCUCCGGCUAACUCCGUG
Molecule: ribosomal RNA, 432 nt
Filed under: uncultured bacterium
Lineage: Bacteria
Description: partial 16S ribosomal RNA
Rfam family: Bacterial small subunit ribosomal RNA
Source: RNAcentral